RNAcentral lists this ribosomal RNA (385 nucleotides) under uncultured Novosphingobium sp. RNAcentral describes it as "bacterial SSU rRNA". It matches the Rfam family "Bacterial small subunit ribosomal RNA", at positions 1016 to 1405 of the family's 1533-position model. Lineage: Bacteria; Pseudomonadati; Pseudomonadota; Alphaproteobacteria; Sphingomonadales; Sphingomonadaceae. The record is from RNAcentral.
CCCUUCGGGGACGCGGUGACAGGUGCUGCAUGGCUGUCGUCAGCUCGUGUCGUGAGAUGUUGGGUUAAGUCCCGCAACGAGCGCAACCCUCGUCCUUAGUUGCCAUCAUUUGGUUGGGCACUCUAAGGAAACUGCCGGUGAUAAGCCGGAGGAAGGUGGGGAUGACGUCAAGUCCUCAUGGCCCUUACAGGCUGGGCUACACACGUGCUACAAUGGCGGUGACAGUGGGCAGCAAGCACGCGAGUGUGAGCUAAUCUCCAAAAGCCGUCUCAGUUCGGAUUGUUCUCUGCAACUCGAGAGCAUGAAGGCGGAAUCGCUAGUAAUCGCGGAUCAGCAUGCCGCGGUGAAUACGUUCCCAGGCCUUGUACACACCGCCCAAGGGCGA